Molecule: transfer RNA, 72 nt
Filed under: Camelus bactrianus (Bactrian camel)
Lineage: Eukaryota; Metazoa; Chordata; Mammalia; Artiodactyla; Camelidae
Also listed under: 1 other name
Rfam family: tRNA
About the family: Transfer RNA (tRNA) molecules are approximately 80 nucleotides in length. Their secondary structure includes four short double-helical elements and three loops (D, anti-codon, and T loops). Further hydrogen bonds mediate the characteristic L-shaped molecular structure. tRNAs have two regions of fundamental functional importance: the anti-codon, which is responsible for specific mRNA codon recognition, and the 3' end, to which the tRNAs corresponding amino acid is attached (by aminoacyl-tRNA synthetases). tRNAs cope with the degeneracy of the genetic code in two manners: having more than one tRNA (with a specific anti-codon) for a particular amino acid; and 'wobble' base-pairing, i.e. permitting non-standard base-pairing at the 3rd anti-codon position.
Source: Rfam by way of RNAcentral
GGAGUAGAGCUCAGUGGUAAGAGUGCUGGCUUAGCAUGCGCGAGGUCCUGGGUUCAAGCCCCAGUGUCUCCA